CAUUUUUAUUGUUAAAAAUUAAUAUGGUUGGUUGAUAGAAUAACCAAAUAAUUACACGUGACGUGCCAUGUGUACCUCAUUCUGACAUAUAUAAACCAAUUUUUAACAAUAAAAAUU
This 117-nucleotide microRNA precursor is filed under the name Gossypium arboreum. Its description in RNAcentral is "MIR7502 microRNA precursor family". It matches the Rfam family "MIR7502 microRNA precursor family", at positions 17 to 127 of the family's 143-position model. Lineage: Eukaryota; Viridiplantae; Streptophyta; Magnoliopsida; Malvales; Malvaceae. The record is from Rfam by way of RNAcentral.